AUGUCCGGGUUAAGUUGUUGGCGCCCAACGCGGCAAUCGACCCCAAAUUGUCUGCCCCAGCACAAGCGCCCUCCGCCGUGCCCCGACCCCGCCCGCAGAGCCGCGCCAGCGCGCGCUCCGCCUCGCCCGCAGCAGCUCGCGUCGCGCCCUGCUCCGCGCCUGAUGCGACAUGCCAUUGCCAUUGCCAUGCGGCAUCUCACAACUGGUGUCACUGUUACCCUGGCCUCAUCCCGGAGAAUGAGCUCCAGCACGAGCGCGCGGACACCGGGGAGCAGGGCCACCAGCCGCCGGAGUACGGUGCACGCAUGGAGCUCGUCCACCAGCCGCCAACGCACCCAGCAGAAGCGCCUCGAGUUUUGCCAGCAGCGCGUCCACGGCCGGCUUCUCCACGUCCAUGACCGCGUCCAAGUCCGGCGUCUCCGGCACCACCGCGUCCAUGGCCAGCGACAGCAAAUCGCGAGGGCACGCAGCCGGCAAGACCAAGCCGUGAGGGCACGCUGCACUUCUCCCUCCGCCCAGCGCGCCCACGCGCGUUCCGUCCCGCAGCCCGCGUCCUCCGCGCCCUCCACCCAGCGUGCCAGUGCCCUCCGCGCCGCGCCCACGUGCCCUGCUCCGUCCCGCGCACUCCGCCCAGCGCCCUCCGCCCCACGUGCGCCCGCCGCUCCGCCCUGGCCGCGCCCCGUGGUGGUCGCGCCCGCGGUGGCCGCGCCGGCCCGCACCCUGGCAGACCGGCGGUGGCCGCGCCCGCGCCCUGGCCGCCCCGCGGUGACCGCGCUGCCCUCGCCCCGAGCUCGUUGCCGCACCUCCGCGUGCGCCUUGGCCUCGCCCGAGCUCCUCCGACUCGCCGCGUGCGGCAAGAACACCACGGGCGUCCGCCCCGCCGUCGUCGACAGAGUUGGGCGCGGCCUGCGAGGCUGCCUGCGUCGCGGCUGCCGGGGUCGUGCGCCGGAGCGGUGGAGAAGAAUCAGAGAAAAAGGAGGAGAGAGAGAAGUGGAGAAGAAUCAGAGAAAAAGGAGGAAAGAGAGAGGAGGAUGGGUGGAUGGUGGGCCCCUUUGUUUCAAUGACAAGCGGGCCAGGCCUCACAUGCAAAGGGACAGGCGCGGACGAGGACCGCGCAGAAAACGUCCGCCCGUGUCCGUUUCUUACCCAAAACCAGACCAAGUAUGCAUCCAGGAUGGGGCGAGCCGGACCAGAAACGGACGUUUUUUUACGGAUGGGGUCAUGCGUUGA
RNAcentral lists this ribosomal RNA (1230 nucleotides) under Triticum aestivum (bread wheat). RNAcentral's name for it is "partial small subunit ribosomal RNA". The record is from RNAcentral. Lineage: Eukaryota; Viridiplantae; Streptophyta; Magnoliopsida; Poales; Poaceae.